GACGAACGCUGGCGGCGUGCUUAACACGUGCAAGUCGAACGGAAAGGCCCUGCUUUUGUGGGGUGCUCGAGUGGCGAACGGGUGAGUAACACGUGAGUAACCUGCCCUUGACUUUGGGAUAACUUCAGGAAACUGGGGCUAAUACCGGAUAGGAGCUCCUGCUGCAUGGUGGGGGUUGGAAAGUUUCGGCGGUUGGGGAUGGACUCGCGGCUUAUCAGCUUGUUGGUGGGGUAGUGGCUUACCAAGGCUUUGACGGGUAGCCGGCCUGAGGGGGUGACCGGCCACAUUGGGACUGAGAUACGGCCCAGACUCCUACGGGAGGCAGCAGUGGGGAAUAUUGCACAAUGGGCGGAAGCCUGAUGCAGCAACGCCGCGUGCGGGAUGGCGGCCUUCGGGUUGUAAACCGCUUUCGCCUGUGACGAAGCGUGAGUGACGGUAAUGGGUAAAGAAGCACCGGCUAACUACGUGCCAGCAGCCGCGGUGAUACGUAGGGUGCGAGCGUUGUCCGGAUUUAUUGGGCGUAAAGGGCUCGUAGGUGGUUGAUCGCGUCGGAAGUGUAAUCUUGGGGCUUAACCCUGAGCGUGCUUUCGAUACGGGUUGACUUGAGGAAGGUAGGGGAGAAUGGAAUUCCUGGUGGAGCGGUGGAAUGCGCAGAUAUCAGGAGGAACACCAGUGGCGAAGGCGGUUCUCUGGGCCUUUCCUGACGCUGAGGAGCGAAAGCGUGGGGAGCGAACAGGCUUAGAUACCCUGGUAGUCCACGCUGUAAACGGUGGGUACUAGGUGUGGGGUCCAUUCCACGGGUUCCGUGCCGUAGCUAACGCUUUAAGUACCCCGCCUGGGGAGUACGGCCGCAAGGCUAAAACUCAAAGGAAUUGACGGGGCCCCGCACAAGCGGCGGAGCAUGCGGAUUAAUUCGAUGCAACGCGUAGAACCUUACCUGGGUUUGACAUGGAUCGGGAGUGCUCAGAGAUGGGUGUGCCUCUUUUGGGGUCGGUUCACAGGUGGUGCAUGGCUGUCGUCAGCUCGUGUCGUGAGAUGUUGGGUUAAGUCCCGCAACGAGCGCAACCCUUGUUCACUGUUGCCAGCACGUUAUGGUGGGGACUCAGUGGAGACCGCCGGGGUCAACUCGGAGGAAGGUGGGGAUGACGUCAAAUCAUCAUGCCCCUUAUGUCCAGGGCUUCACGCAUGCUACAAUGGCUGGUACAGAGAGUGGCGAGCCUGUGAGGGUGAGCGAAUCUCGGAAAGCCGGUCUCAGUUCGGAUUGGGGUCUGCAACUCGACCUCAUGAAGUCGGAGUCGCUAGUAAUCGCAGAUCAGCAACGCUGCGGUGAAUACGUUCCCGGG
Molecule: ribosomal RNA, 1343 nt
Filed under: uncultured bacterium
Lineage: Bacteria
Description: 16S ribosomal RNA
Rfam family: Bacterial small subunit ribosomal RNA
Source: RNAcentral